GACGAACGCUGGCGGCGUGCUUAACACAUGCAAGUCGAACGGAAACGCCCUGCUUUUGUGGGGUGCUCGAGUGGCGAACGGGUGAGUAACACGUGAGUAACCUGCCCUUGACUUUGGGAUAACUUCAGGAAACUGGGGCUAAUACCGGAUAGGAGCUCCUGCUGCAUGGUGGGGGUUGGAAAGUUUCGUCGGUUGGGGAUGGACUCGCGGCUUAUCAGCUUGUUGGUGGGGUAGUGGCUUACCAAGGCUUUGACCGGUUGCCGACCUGAGAGGAUGGCCGGACACAUUGCGCCUGAGAUACGGCACAGACUCGUACGGGAGGCAACAGUGGGGAAUAUUGCACAAUGGGCGGAAGCAUGAUGUAGCAACGCCGCGUGGGGGAUGACGGCAUUCGGGUUGUGAACCGAUUUCGCCUGAGACGAAGCGUGAGUGACGGUAAUGGGUAAAGAAGCACCGGCUAACUACGUG
Molecule: ribosomal RNA, 468 nt
Filed under: uncultured bacterium
Lineage: Bacteria
Description: partial 16S ribosomal RNA
Rfam family: Bacterial small subunit ribosomal RNA
Source: RNAcentral